Molecule: long non-coding RNA, 743 nt
Organism: Gallus gallus (chicken)
Lineage: Eukaryota; Metazoa; Chordata; Aves; Galliformes; Phasianidae
Exons: 2
Source: RefSeq, a predicted model, not a curated record
AAGAUAUAGACGGGAGGAGAAGGAAUACAGUUCCCAAUGGUCUCUCGACCUCUUUCCAACAGCAGUAAAGAAGACAACUUAUCUUCUUUCUAACAUGAAUUGCGAUACUCCGGCAGUAAGUAUUUAGGUUAUGUUGAUAAUGCAUAGACAGGAUCAUUCAAGACAGACCACUGGUGCUCUCAUAUGUAACAGCAACUCCAUGUGGACUACACUGACUUCCAGUGGAGAUGCUGUUACUUUUGAUAGCGGCUCAAAGACUCCGGAUCAGCUGCUACUGGAAGCACAUCUAUCCAGCAUUCAGGAUCUGAAAACAGCCUGAGUUUUGGAAUGUAAGUUAUUAUUUAUUGUUGUAUAAACGAUAUUGAAUUAUCUGCACAAUCUAUGUACGAAACUUCUCAAGUGGUGGAAAUAUGUCAGCAGCCUAUUUUCAAAAUGACAAUGCAAAUACAGUGAAAUAUUCAGGCUUAUGUAUUUACUUCAGUAAGAACUGGUGUCCAGGAAAAUGACCUAUGAAUUGACAGACUGCUUUCAAAAUGUGCCUGUCAUUUCUAUAGGCCAAUAUUCUGUGCACUUUUCCUACUUUGGCUGCCAAAAUCUGCUAUUAAAAGUCUGCUUUAAAUCUUUAAUGAGCAUUUCGCAUUUUACUUUGAAAACUUCACCUCUGCUGUAGAACAUUUUAGAAGUAAGGAGAACUGAGCAUCAGAAGCUGUCAAUUGAAUUAAAUAAAUCUAAUUUUGCAAGCA